GUCCCAGCCCUAAACGAUGGUCACUGGACGUUCCCCGGUUCCCGGGGAGUGUCGCAGCUAACGCGCUAAGUGACCCGCCUGGGGAGUACGGUCGCAAGACUGAAACUCAAAGGAAUUGACGGGGGCCCGCACAAGCGGUGGAGCAUGUGGUUCAAUUCGACGCAACGCGAAGAACCUUACCCGGGCUUGAAGAGCGUAGGAUCAGCCGAGGAAACUCGGCCUUCCCGCAAGGGACUUACGUAGAGGUGCUGCAUGGCUGUCGU
This 263-nucleotide ribosomal RNA is filed under the name uncultured bacterium. RNAcentral's name for it is "partial 16S ribosomal RNA". It matches the Rfam family "Bacterial small subunit ribosomal RNA", at positions 793 to 1055 of the family's 1533-position model. The record is from RNAcentral.